RNAcentral lists this ribosomal RNA (401 nucleotides) under Escherichia coli. RNAcentral describes it as "bacterial LSU rRNA". It matches the Rfam family "Bacterial large subunit ribosomal RNA", at positions 2542 to 2925 of the family's 2925-position model. Lineage: Bacteria; Pseudomonadati; Pseudomonadota; Gammaproteobacteria; Enterobacterales; Enterobacteriaceae. The record is from RNAcentral.
ACAUCCUGGGGCUGAAGUAGGUCCCAAGGGUAUGGCUGUUCGCCAUUUAAAGUGGUACGCGAGCUGGGUUUAGAACGUCGUGAGACAGUUCGGUCCCUAUCUGCCGUGGGCGCUGGAGAACUGAGGGGGGCUGCUCCUAGUACGAGAGGACCGGAGUGGACGCAUCACUGGUGUUCGGGUUGUCAUGCCAAUGGCACUGCCCGGUAGCUAAAUGCGGAAGAGAUAAGUGCUGAAAGCAUCUAAGCACGAAACUUGCCCCGAGAUGAGUUCUCCCUGACUCCUUGAGAGUCCUGAAGGAACGUUGAAGACGACGACGUUGAUAGGCCGGGUGUGUAAGCGCAGCGAUGCGUUGAGCUAACCGGUACUAAUGAACCGUGAGGCUUAACCUUACAACGCCGAAG